RNAcentral lists this non-coding RNA (26 nucleotides) under Rattus norvegicus (Norway rat). Lineage: Eukaryota; Metazoa; Chordata; Mammalia; Rodentia; Muridae. The record is from RNAcentral.
UGUGCUGUGUGUCUUCGAGGGAGUGG